This is a long non-coding RNA of Salvia miltiorrhiza (redroot sage), 900 nucleotides long. RefSeq lists it as uncharacterized. NCBI's taxonomy places the organism in Eukaryota, Viridiplantae, Streptophyta, Magnoliopsida, Lamiales, Lamiaceae. The record is from RefSeq and is a predicted model, not a curated record. The transcript is spliced from 6 exons.
UUAAAUCAUGUAUUUAAUUUUUAAGCAAUUAAAUAUUGUUGAUUAAACAUUCUUUUCGUGCAAAAGGUCAAAUGAGUAAACUACAAUUUCAUCGAAUUGAUACUGUUUAGCAUAUCCCACAAAUUCCUCAAUUCCCAUUCUUGGGACUGAUCUAUUUCGAUAGAAUGUAGAAAAAUUCUAGGUUUUUAACAAAAAUUUUCAUCAACGAUUCAAUUUACGAAAAUAUUGCUGAAAUUGCUAAUUGUCGUUCUAGCAAAACGCCGCCGCUGAGGGAUUUUUUCUUGGUUUCGAUAUCGCGAUUGUCGAAGUCCGUAGAAGACGACGAAUUGGAUUGGAUCUGAAUUUAUCUCUGCCGGCGACGAACACCCAUCUUAUAUGCUAUGGAUUCACUGCGUCGAACUGAUAUUGUGGUACCAGAACGUUCAAGUUGAAAAUGUUAAAGAACAAGCAAGUGAACUCGACCAUGUCGUCGUAGAUUUCAUGAUGCAGGGUGAUGCUACGAUUACGUCUGCUAAUGUGUGUUGUGCUGAGGAGAAAGAACCUAUAGGAUGUUCAACAAAAUUUAUCAAACGAACCAGCCAUUGAACGUGACGACGUAGUUCAGUGUUCAGUUGUGCAGAAGGGCAAGGAUAAGGUUAUAGUAGGGGAAAUCAGUAAAAGGAACUAGGCCGAUACGAAAAUCACAAAAGGGUGAAGAAUCAAGCAACAGUUGAGAUGGAUACUGAAUCAAAAGCUGGGUUUAAGGAGCAAGAAGGGGUAAAAUAUAAAUAUGUUAGGAGGUCUAGGAAGUAGUUUGAUAUGAUUGUAUCAUAAAUAAUUAUUUUGUGCAGCAGGUAAUCGGUGAAACAUUAAGCCUAUCAUAAAUAUUGUGUUUACCCUUGUGCAUGGUUGACGAUGAUG